Molecule: transfer RNA, 64 nt
Filed under: Daphnia laevis
Lineage: Eukaryota; Metazoa; Arthropoda; Branchiopoda; Diplostraca; Daphniidae
Description: tRNA-Tyr
Source: RNAcentral
AGUUAAAUGGCCGAGAAAACAGGCAUUAAAUUGUAAAUUUAAUUACGGGCUAGCCCUUUAACUA